RNAcentral lists this ribosomal RNA (809 nucleotides) under Bacillus subtilis. Its description in RNAcentral is "bacterial SSU rRNA". It matches the Rfam family "Bacterial small subunit ribosomal RNA", at positions 584 to 1393 of the family's 1533-position model. Lineage: Bacteria; Bacillati; Bacillota; Bacilli; Caryophanales; Bacillaceae. The record is from RNAcentral.
UAAGUGUGAUGUGAAAGCCCCCGGCUCAACCGCGGAGGGUCAUUGGAAACUGGGGAACUUGAGUGCAGAAGAGGAGAGUGGAAUUCCACGUGUAGCGGUGAAAUGCGUAGAGAUGUGGAGGAACACCAGUGGCGAAGGCGACUCUCUGGUCUGUAACUGACGCUGAGGAGCGAAAGCGUGGGGAGCGAACAGGAUUAGAUACCCUGGUAGUCCACGCCGUAAACGAUGAGUGCUAAGUGUUAGGGGGUCUCCGCCCCUUAGUGCUGCAGCUAACGCAUUAAGCACUCCGCCUGGCGAGUACGGUCGCAAGACUGAAACUCAAAGGAAUUGACGCGGGCCCGCACAAGCGGUGGAGCAUGUGGUCUAAUUCGAAGCAACGCGAAGAACCUUACCAGGUCUUGACAUCCUCUGACAAUCCUAGAGAUAGGACGUCCCCUUCGGGGGCAGAGUGACAGGUGGUGCAUGGUUGUCGUCAGCUCGUGUCGUGAGAUGUUGGGUUAAGUCCCGCAACGAGCGCAACCCUUGAUCUUAGUUGCCAGCAUUCAGUUGGGCACUCUAAGGUGACUGCCGGUGACAAACCGGAGGAAGGUGGGGAUGACGUCAAAUCAUCAUGCCCCUUAUGACCUGGGCUACACACGUGCUACAAUGGACAGAACAAAGGGCAGCGAAACCGCGAGGUUAAGCCAAUCCCACAAAUCUGUUCUCAGUUCGGAUCGCAGUCUGCAACUCGACUGCGUGAAGCUGGAAUCGCUAGUAAUCGCGGAUCAGCAUGCCGCGGUGAAUACGUUCCCGGGCCUUGUACACACCGC